UGAGGAAUAUUGGGCAAUGCCCGCAAGGGUGACCCAGCAACGCCGCGUGGAGGAUGAAUGUCGUAAGAUUGUAAACUCCUGUUAGAGGGGAAGAAUAGUACCGGUUGGACCGGUAUAUGACUGUACCCUCAGAGAAAGCCCCGGCUAACUACGUGCCAGCAGCCGCGGUAAUACGUAGGGGGCAAGCGUUGUCCGGAUUUACUGGGUGUAAAGGGCGCGCAGGCGGGAUAAAAAGUCAGUGGUGAAAUCCUACAGCUUAACUGUAGAACUGCCUUUGAUACUUGUAUUCUUGAGUUCGGGAGAGAGAGACGGAAUUCCAGGUGUAGUGGUGAAAUACGUAGAUAUCUGGAAGAACACCUGUUGCGAAGGCGGUCUCUUGGUCCGACACUGACGCUGAGGCGCGAAAGCGUGGGGAGCAAACA
Molecule: ribosomal RNA, 422 nt
Filed under: uncultured bacterium
Lineage: Bacteria
Description: bacterial SSU rRNA
Rfam family: Bacterial small subunit ribosomal RNA
Source: RNAcentral